Coturnix japonica (Japanese quail) is the source of this 6512-nucleotide non-coding RNA. NCBI's taxonomy places the organism in Eukaryota, Metazoa, Chordata, Aves, Galliformes, Phasianidae. The record is from RefSeq and is a predicted model, not a curated record.
GAUGGACAGUGUGGGUCAAAGGAGGCUGACCAUUCAUUCUGCUGCCUUGCUGCAUAAUCCAAGAAGCUUAUGUAAGAAGAACAGCAAAGACUUUAAGCUGCCAACAACAGUUUGGAGUAUGGAGAAAGAAGAGAAUUUAAAAAUAUCCUGUUCUACAUGGCUUGCAGAGUUACUGUUCAUGCCAAGUUCGUUGAGGCAAAUGGUAGAAGUUACUCACACAGUGGAAGCUGUGCAGUAGUUUUAUUAUUUCAUUCACUGUUUGAGACAGCCUGUCUCAAAAAGAAGCUCAUCCAGCUUCUCAGAAGAAAAGUUUCAUCACAUCCAAAUUUUCUAAUAUAACUGAAGGAAAGAAACAAACAACAACUACAAACAAACAAACAAAAGACCUUUUUUUCAUUUCAGUCCAUUUUAAAAAGACAUUUCCUCAGCAAUUUCUAUAAAAAUAAGUAUGGAUAAUUCUGAUAAAAGUAAUUACCUUUUCACUAAUAAUGCAUUUAUUUUUAUUAUUUUGAGUGCUGCUCCAAAAGUAAUGUCUCCUAUUUUAUGAUAUUGGCCCACAACUUCGGAAAGAGAUGCUGGUGGCACAGCUAUAGAGGCUGAACCUCCCACCAACAUCCCACUACACGCUGUUACUGUGUGACAGAUGGCAGCAGAGGAGCAGUCUGACAGAAUGGAGUCUGACAUGGAAGUGCAGUGAGAUCAGUGAAGUGAUGGGUGGUGCCUUUCAGUAGUGGUGAUGUGAAAGACAAGCCAUGUUCUGGUUGGCCAUGCACAGCUCUCACUCCAUGGUAUGAACUGUCUUGAUCAGCUCAUCGAUGUGAAUUGGUGUAUUAUGACCAAGGAACUGUGUAUAGAGCUGAAUAUUGGCUUCAGUGUUUUCGGGAAAAUGGUGGCAGUGUUGGAAUAUUGCAAAGUUUGUGCCAGAUGAGUCCCACAAAUGCUCACACAGGAACAGAAGGAACCCUGUAUACACAUUUUUUUCAGGACCCAUUGAGCAAGUAUAAGAAGAUGAAAAUGACAAUUUCCUGGAUUAUAUCAUGACUGGUGACAAGAAAUUAAGCCACCACAAUGAGCCGAAUUCAAAAGAGCAGUUCAUGGAGUGGUGACGUGAAUUCCCCACUGAAGAAAAAGUUCAAGGCACAGACCUCAGUGGGUAAAGUGAUGUACAAGGUCUUUUGGGGAUAGGAAAGGUUGAUUCUUCUGGAUUUCCUGGAUCCUGGACAAACUAUCAGCUCAGAAAAUUGCACUGUGACACUGACUAAAUUGCAGAAUCAUGCUGGAGAAGUAGACAGCUGUUCUUUUGCAACACAAGGCCCCAUAACAGUUUGAAGACUGUGGAGCACUUUGCAAGCCCUGGCUGGAAUGUCCUACCACAUCCAACAUACAGUCUGGAUAUCGUGCCUUCUGACUUCCAUCUGUUUGGGAUGAUCAAAGACAGACACCCUGGACAACAUUUUCCAAGCAGUAGUGCUGCCAUAGCAGCUGUGAAACAGCAGGUCACCUGCAGUGGUGCAGAGUUGAUUUUCGAGCACAGCAUGACAGUUUUCAUUCAUUGCUGGAAACAUAUACAGCUAAUGGUAGCAAUUAUGCUGAAAAAUAAUGUCUUGUAGCUGAGAUUUUGCUCUGUCAAUUAAUGUUAUUGCGUAUCUUUUAUCCUUUCUCCUCUUCCUCAUGUGAGAAAGAUCUAAAGCCUGGACAAUCCCUUGAUCUUAGAUUCAAUGAUCUAUGACAUUUUUGAUAUAGGUAUUUUCUUCUGUCUAUGCAUAAUGGAGUAGUCUCGUGAAAAAUCUGAUUCGUGCAGAAAAUCUGGAUUACAGGUGUGCUUUCACUCUCGUGGUUUCCUGAAAGAAUGAGAUCAAGUUCCUAUGAGUGCUCAUACUGGAGAGAAAAUAUCAGUCUUAGAGGUACGUCUACCAACCUAGAUACAGUGGUUUUGUGUUCUAUGCUGUCACUUGCCAUUUAUUUGUAUGUGUGGAAAGACAGGGAGGCAUAGUGACCAGGCAGAUAAUAUAGGGCAAAAUACGUAAUUAUUGCUCUGAUCUGUACCCAGUGCAGUAGUUCCUCUGGGAUGCAGGGAGGUCACUGAGAUAAUCUUCGGGCUGAUCUAACAGUCAAAAUCUAUUUGAUAGACUGACUGAAUGUCUUUUUUAGAGAGGGGAAAGAAGUGUGUGAGUUAGUUCUCCUGUAGAAGUAAGAACAAAAGGCAGGAAGCUGCAGAACAGGCAGGAAAGAGGGCAAAAGCAUCACUUGAUCAGAAAACAGAAAUGCAGUUGUCUUACAAAUAAAAUUUUUACAAAAAGUGCAAAUGAAGGAAAUCACCUUAGAAAGUUUAGAGAUGGAAAAUAUUAAAGUAAUGUUUGUGGUCUUACCAGAGGCAAAUACUAAAGGUGAAAAUAAAGAUGAAAAGUGAACAAUAUAAAUAAAGUCCUGGAUAACAAUCACAGUAGAAGUAAGAAGUACUGCAGAUAUGAGACUGUCAAGCUGUACAUCUUGGAAAGGGCAAAGCGUAGGGGUGGAGGUCAACAGAGGAAAGGAAUUUCAUCUGAAAGAUCAUAGCACAAGAUUAGUUCCAAGCAGAGAUUAUGUUGAAAGUACAUCAUGGCAGUAAGAUGUGAGAACUGUUGGACUAUUUUUGGGCAAAUUAUAACAAAAGCAAUAAGAAAUGAGAGGCAGCUGCUUGAAUUGCUAGCUGAUUUGAUGAUUCAAGCUAGCAGUGGUGAGUCCAGGAGAUAAGAAAUACAAAUAAAGGGGGACUGAGGAGAUAAAAUCAAGUGACAGUAUCCAUAGAGGAAUACAAUUAAAAUGAUUAAAAUUCAGCUUUUACAAGAUGAUGUUGUCUGAUUGCUCUUACAGUAAAUAUUUUCAUCGAAAUCACUUACUUACAGUAACAGAGGCUCACAGUAUCUUAUGCUUGCUUCACAGAUAUACAACUAAGACAAAGUUGACAGAGCAGUAUGGGAUUAGAGUGGAUGGAGUAAAGUGGAGGAUGGCUAUCCUGGAAGCCUGGAUUCUUUUAGAAAAGUUAAUUUGUUUGUUUGUUUCUUUUUUUUAUUUCUAGUCCUGUGAAAUGAAUGUAACUUGGAAAGUAAUUGUAUUAUUUUAGUAUUUUAAAUGUAUUUUAAAAAAUUAUGUUUGUCUUCUUGUAGGAUUUGAACCCUACUCUAAAUCUGGUUCUAGUAUGCACUGGAAACUGAGUUGCAGAAUCUUGGAGAACCCUAGGUCAGAAGGGACACUAGACAUCACCAGAUUCAACCUUCUGCUGAAAGCAAAGACUUGGAUUAGGUUAUUGAGGGCACUGUCAAGCCAAACCUAAAAUAUUUCCACCAACGUAAAUUCUACUUUUGCCCCAGGCAAAACAUUUCUGUAUUUGAGAGUUCUAAUAGUGAGUUUCUUUCUUUAGAACUUCCUCUUAGGCAUCUUGUGUCCACUGCCUAUUGCCCUGCAUCACACAUCUUUGUGAAAUUGGGAUAGAUUCUUCUAUAACAACCAUCCAGUUAUGGAAACACCUGAGCUUUCUCUUUCCCAGGCUGAAUAAACACAAUUCCUUCAGCUUUUCUCCGUACAUCAAGUUCCCCAGCACUCCAACAAUACUGAUGCUCCUGAUCAUCUGCAAUUUUCCAGCAGCUCUUUAGAAAGUUUUCUAUGUUCUUUCAGAAUGUGAAAAUGUAAAUAGGUUGUAUGUAUCAUGAAUUAACGAAAGAAAAUCACAUAAUUUCUUACUGAAAUAUUUCUAUAACUCUGGUGUUUCCCCCAUCCUCCUAUCAUCAUCUGUAAAAAUAGAAAGAUUCCCUAUGUCCUUUCUAAGUCUGUUCUUCUCCAUUGCCUCAGUACACACAGGAUUCAUGUCAUAAUGGUUCCUCUCAGUACUUGCUCACAUUUUAGUCUCCCAUUCUUCACAACACUUUGUCUUACAUGAUGUUUGGGCAAGAGGUGACAUGUGCUGACACUACCCAUAACUGGUUGUACAUUUGCUUCUUUAUUUUCCAAAGAGUACAAAGUGCUUUUCAUUGCAGAGGACUGUUUGCUUGAAGAGACUGAAGGAAUAAGAUGUAUUAUGCUUAGGAGGAGAUUCCUUUCUGAGAUGGCCCUUUAUUGGAUAAGCAUACAAUGACUGGUGAUCCAUGAGAGUCUGAAAGUUAAAGGUUAAAGGUGAGAUGGAGAGAAAACAGGAACAGGCACAUUCAAGACAGAAAGCACCGACUGCCUUCAGAGCAAUUAAGAGAAAUUGUCAGCAAGGGACCAGAAGAAUAAUUCAAGAAACAUGAUGUCACAGGAUAUCUGUGUCUAUGAUACUAAUGAUACUUAUGAUUUAUUGCUCUUGCUGAUGACCUAAAUAAUAUACAGAAACCCUGGGGCAAAAAUGAAAAUCAGAAAAUGGCAGAUGGGAUUCUGUGGGUAGCCUUCUGCAAAACAUUUUUAUUUCAUAUGACUCAGUGCUCAUAUUUAGGGGUAAAAAGUUGUUUUCUGGAUAAUUUAGUAAACUUUGGAAUGAAGUGUUUUUUCUUCACAGUACUUGAUUUCUUUGUUCAACGGGAACUGUUGCAGCUGAAGCUAAGCACAAAAUGUAAUGCCAAUACAUUCGUAGCUUUGUUUCCCAAGACAAUUAAAUGCAUUUGUUUUGUAGUUUUGUCACAAUUUUAAUCCAAAUAUUUAAUCUGGCUUUAUCACAAAGUUGAUAGCUCACAGAGGAAACAAGUAGUGAUCUGGAACUGGAUAAUAAAACCAAAUAACUUGGAAAUAUGCAACGGCGUAAAUCUGGAAUGAGACAAUUUGAUUUAUGAAGAACUGAAGGAUUACACAGAACUUGUUAAUUCCUCCUUAUUAAAGUAGGUCGGUAUGGACAGAAUUACACCACUUUAAUAAGCACAUUAAGUCUGUGAUCUUCAAUGCACAGAGAGUGUGGCACAGAUACACCGUGGUACAAUCUUACAAAGUCAAUACAACCACUGAAAAUGGAGAGCAUGAGCUGUCAUCAAACUCUAAAAGGGGAAAUGAGCUGGAAGGCUGUAAUGAAGAACCAAAGUGUAAAGAUGGAAUUAAAAAAACCCCACGAAACAAAAACAACAACAAAACACAUACACACACAUACACACACACACAAACAGGAUUAUGAUGGCAUAGCACCCAGCAGAAAAAAGGAAGAUUAUAUAGGAUUUCAGGUAUCUGCACAAAGAGCAAUAAUCAGAAUUUUCUGAAUUGUAGGAAAAAACAACAACAGAGGAAAUAGAAGAAGUAUGUGAGGAAAAAAUAGGUAAGAAAAUCUGGCUAAGCCUACUUCAACACUUUCCUAGAUUUAAGCUGUGUAAUUGCAACCACUGUGUUGGUCAGUUAUGUGUAUUUUGUUUAUGAAACCUUGGAGAGUUGGUGCCUACCAAAAUAUCUGAAGACCACUAGUGGAGAGGGAGUGGAUGCACUCCAAAACAAGGAAAGAUUGCUGAAGCCUUUGGGUGAGAAGCUCACAAUACAGAGGAGGAUACAGGGUUAAGUACAUUGGAGACGCGGACCUGAGAUUUAGAGUCAGGCUUCUGCAUGACUGUGAAUAUUUGGCCAUGCCCUUGGGUUGGAUCCAUCUAAUAUUUUCAGCAAAUUAUGUGGUGUGACCUGUGCCCAGAAACCACCAGAGACUCUUGGUAAAAGAAGUUUUCCUGUCUAAAACUGUAGUUACAUAAAGUUUGGCUCUGUGAAACCAGGAUGAAUAAAUGCACUUCUGCAAGCCUCCUGUCUGUAAAAUCCUGGCUGUGCUGGGACUCUGCUGUCCUCCAAAAGGUGCAUUACGAUGCAUGGCCAUGCUGGCAUGUUGAAUGUGCUCAUGUUGAUGCUUCCUGAAAGAGGCAUGUCAUUUGAGAUUUUAGUCUCACAUGCUAAGUAUUUGCAUUCCAUUGCUUGAAACUACCAGGAUUGUGCAUGCGUUCUAUGUAUUUGCAAAAAUAAACAACACUCAUAAUGCUUUUCAGACGCAUAAUCAAUGGGGAGCUCACUGGCUGCAUAAUAUUUUAAAUAUUUUGCAUCAAAUCCAGAGUUCUGAUGUGGUCAGGGACAGUGGGCAGAUUUGUGACUCCACCUGCAGAACUCGUGGUCCAUAAACCUGAGAACAAAGCAUCCUCAUCCAUAUGUAAUUUUAGGUUCCCAUUCCUCCAGGAAUAUUUUCUACCACAUUCCCUCUUAAAUAAUGGAAUGUGAAUAUUGUUCAGUACCAGCUACAAAUAUGUGUUAGAAUUUGCACAAUUUUUAACUCCUUCUUUCAAAUUUCAAAACAGUGCAAAGUGAAAACACUUGUGGAAAACAAAGCAAGACUUUCUUGGAUGUGAUAUAACUCCCAGUUAAAAGAAAGUAGUAUCACCCAGUGAUACUGCAGAAUAAUCUCACCUUUGUUGUGCAACCUUUACUUCACUGAGCAUCAAUAAUACUUGACAAAAUUCCCGUGAGCCUGAUUCAAGCCUUGGGUCACGUACAUUAAAUCAUAUGGAAAUCUGCUAAGUUACACUAUGGUCAAAAUCUUAGUAAGAUAAGGG